UGGUGCGCUUUUUAAGUUCCUCAUGAGAAAGGCAUUAUUAUGCUGUUUCUUUGUGGAAGAUACAGUCGAGUACUGUACUGCCUUAGCACAUUUUAGCAAUCAGAUUACUCUAGCUUCAACAUAAAACAAGUAGAAUAUUUGGGCCAGAUAUGGCCGGGUUAAAUGCUUAUGGGUCAAGUGUUGAGUUUCUUCCCUCUAGAUUUAGAGCUCGAGUACAACUGACAUGUACUUUGAUUUUUACGCCAUCUUUGUAGUUGGUAAAAAUAAACUCAAGUCAUAUACUGCAGAUAACUUGGUCUCCUAUACCCCUACCAUUACAAACUUCUACCCUUGUGCUAAUGUAAGAAACCAUUGAUAUAUAGUAUUGCAGAAUGUAUUUAUAUAAAAAAAAAAAAAAGAUGUUUAUUUGUAUAAUUCUUGUA
Molecule: long non-coding RNA, 422 nt
Organism: Octopus sinensis (East Asian common octopus)
Lineage: Eukaryota; Metazoa; Mollusca; Cephalopoda; Octopoda; Octopodidae
Exons: 3
Source: RefSeq, a predicted model, not a curated record